Molecule: ribosomal RNA, 301 nt
Filed under: uncultured bacterium
Lineage: Bacteria
Description: partial 16S ribosomal RNA
Rfam family: Bacterial small subunit ribosomal RNA
Source: RNAcentral
CAGUCGCCACGGGAAUACGGAGGGUGCAAGCGUUAAUCGGAAUUACUGGGCGUAAAGCGUGCGUAGGCGGUUCGUUAAGUCUGUUGUGAAAGCCCCGGGCUCAACCUGGGAAUGGCAAUGGAUACUGGCGAGCUAGAGUGUGUCAGAGGAUGGUGGAAUUCCCGGUGUAGCGGUGAGAUGCGUAGAGAUCGGGAGGAACAUCAGUGGCGAAGGCGGCCAUCUGGGACAACACUGACGCUGAGGCACGAAAGCGUGGGGAGCAAACAGGAUUAGAUACCCGCGUAGUCCCUGUCUCUUAUAC